Molecule: non-coding RNA, 84 nt
Organism: Russula vinacea
Lineage: Eukaryota; Fungi; Basidiomycota; Agaricomycetes; Russulales; Russulaceae
Source: the annotation of a GenBank genome assembly
UCCCGUUUAGCUCAGUUGGUAGAGCGCGUCACUAGUACUGCUUAUAUAAUGACGAGGUCAGUCGUUCAAGUCGGCUAAUGGGAA